GAUGAACGCUGGCGGCGUGCCUAAUACAUGCAAGUCGAGCGAACAGACGAGGAGCUUGCUCCGCUGACGUUAGCGGCGGACGGGUGAGUAACACGUGGAUAACCUACUUAUCAGACUGGGAUAACCUCGGGAAACCGGCGCUAAUACCGGAUAAUAUACUGAAGCGCAGGGUUCAAUAGUGAAAGACGGCUUUGCGGGCACUUAUAGAUGGAUCCGCGCCGCAUUAGCUAGUUGGUAAGGUAACGGGUUACCAAGGCGACGAUGCGUAGACGAACUGAGAGGGUGAUCGGCCACACUGGAACUGAGACACGGACCAGACUCCUAAGGGAGGGAGCAGUAGGGAAUCGGACGCAAUAGGCGAGAACAUGACGGAGUAAGCGCGCGUGAGAGAUGAAGGCGCUCCGAUCGUAAAACUCUGUUAUUAGGGAAAAACAGAUGUGUACGUUAAUGUAGCCGUAUUGACGGUAACUGGUCAAAAAGCCACGGCUAACUACGUG
This 497-nucleotide ribosomal RNA is filed under the name uncultured bacterium. Its description in RNAcentral is "partial 16S ribosomal RNA". It matches the Rfam family "Bacterial small subunit ribosomal RNA", at positions 28 to 507 of the family's 1533-position model. The record is from RNAcentral.